CCUACGGGGGGCUGCAGUCGAGGAUCAUUCGCAAUGGGCGAAAGCCUGACGGUGCGACGCCGCGUGAGGGAUGAAGGCCUUCGGGUUGUAAACCUCUGUCAGGAGUUAAGAACGGCGGGUGUCAUAACAUGGCAUUCGCGUGACAAAGGCUCCAAAGGAAGCCACGGCUAACUACGUGCCAGCAGCCGCGGUAAUACGUAGGUGGCUAGCGUUACUCGGAAUCACUGGGCAUAAAGGGCGUGUAGGCGGACGCGUAAGUCCGGUGUGAAAUCCCCCGGCUCAACCGGGGACGGCCAUUGGAUACUGCGUGUCUUGAGUGCGGAAGGGGAGAGUGGAACUCUUGGUGGAGCGGUGAAAUGCGUAGAUAUCAAGAGGAACGCCGGUGGCGAAAGCGGCUCUCUGGUCCGUUACUGACGCUGAGGCGCGAAAGCUAGGGGAGCAAACGGGCUUAGAUACCCCAGUAGUC
RNAcentral lists this ribosomal RNA (466 nucleotides) under uncultured bacterium. Its description in RNAcentral is "bacterial SSU rRNA". It matches the Rfam family "Bacterial small subunit ribosomal RNA", at positions 338 to 795 of the family's 1533-position model. The record is from RNAcentral.